This 12713-nucleotide long non-coding RNA is filed under the name Selaginella moellendorffii. Its description in RNAcentral is "long non-coding RNA (SMOE_LNC001111)". The record is from RNAcentral. Lineage: Eukaryota; Viridiplantae; Streptophyta; Lycopodiopsida; Selaginellales; Selaginellaceae.
CCAGAUUGAUGUGCGUUCCAAGAGUGCUAAGGAUUACCUCCACACCAACCUGGCACCAUCGUUUGGGACAUUGAAUGCAGAAACAGUGAAGAAGAUGGAUGAGGUUCUCAAAGUUUGCAUCUCGGGAACCACAGACCUUCUAGCCAAAGUGGCACCGAAAGAGCGAACUUGGGAGAAGGUCAACUCCAUGUUCAUGCAAAAUCCCCUGGUUGAGCCAAUGGGCGAUGGGAUUAGCAGAGCUGACAAGUUUCUCAACAAAAGCUCUAGCGAUUUCAAGAUUGACGGGUCACCGGACCCAGCUAUUGUGAAAGCGGUAAUAGAGUCAUGUAUUGUGGAAGAGCUCUAUUAACCUUUGCGGCCUUCUCUCGGCACAGGUUCAGGUCUGGUUUGUGAAUCUCAUCGCAGAUGAGGACGUCCUGAAAUCAACCAAGAUCGACAUUAAAGUUGUUGGGGAAAUUGUUGCUCAGUCAGGGGCGACCAUUACCAGCUUUGAAAAUUUCUUUGCCAAGCAUGAGCACCACGAGAAGACCAUAAUUGACAUCGGGGUCUUAAGGUACCCUGAUAUGCAAAACCCGUACUUCAAGGUUUGUGCCCAGGCUGCCUUUUGUAUUUCAGUCACAGCUCAUGCUUACGAGUACAGGUGUACCGCAUCAAACUCUUUGCUUGGUCUGAUAGCAACCGUAUCGUGUUCCAUCAGGAGGAUUCCAAUGGCAUCAUUGGAGGUGAGGUGUCUAAUGUAAACCACUGAAGACUGCACGCUCCUUUUGUUCUAUUUGCAGAGUUCACCUUCCGUAAGUUUAAGCCGCGCAAGGAGACCAUUGACGAGAUGAACCCAGACGCCAAAAAGAAGGCUGUGGAAGCUGCAGAUAACAUCUUUGGUUUCUAAUAUCUAAAUUGAGCCAAAGAUGCCUCAAGCUAAAACAUCUUUCUAAAUACAUGACCUAUAACAGCUAUCUAUUGUCUUUAUAUUUUUUAAUCUCAAUUUCUGAAAAGAGACAAUCAGGGAAACAAAGACUUGACAAUAAAAGUAAUAAAUAUCUAAAACCCAGAUGCUUUGGAUUCCAAGUACUUUUGUCAAUGACUGGAACAUUGAAAGGUGAUGAUAAGUUUAUCUAUAUACUGUUUAUAGCCUUGUGGUAUUCUUACGUAUUCUUUGUGAUAUAUUAAUAAAACGAAACAGGACAGUAUGCCACAUGUGGAGAUCAUUAUCAUUGUCUUGUUGGUCUUUGUAGAUUCUUCGCACUCAAGGUUACCACAAGUUAGCCAGGGACACGCUCAAUCAGCUCUAAGCCGAGUUGAUGGCUUAGUCGUGGGGCUGUGAGUGCCAUUUGGCUCUCCAUCUUGCCGGAUUUUCCCAUCCUGUCGCUUUGAUGCAAACGACCUAGGAACACUGUCGCAAUAAUAUUGUAGAGGAACAAGGUCUCUAGACAAAGGGCUAUAAUAAAUGGAUUUUGACAAGGAACAGAACUUCGAGAAUAGAACUCGUAAAGAAUGCUACGGUCCGUUUUUAGUGUAAACGGCUUGGCAAACGAAUGCCUAUGCUAUUGGAACAAGGCAAAGGGAGGCCCUCAAAACCGUCAAGCUUUACCUCCUUCUGUAACUCACGAACUUUGUCGAGCACAUUAUAAGUUUUCUUUGGCAAAUGCUUACAUACUGAUCAGUAGGCGUGACAUCUCCUGCUAUAGGGUCUAGUUUUUAGGAUCCUAGAAAUCUACUCCGGGAGACGUUAAUACAGUUGUAAAUUUUUUAAAUUAGUUGUUCCGUGAAAUCUAAUAAGCUAAAUGUCCUAAACAGCAACGUCACUUUGGUCNNNNNNNNNNNNNNNNNNNNNNNNNNNNNNNNNNNNNNNNNNNNNNNNNNNNNNNNNNNNNNNNNNNNNNNNNNNNNNNNNNNNNNNNNNNNNNNNNNNNNNNNNNNNNNNNNNNNNNNNNNNNNNNNNNNNNNNNNNNNNNNNNNNNNNNNNNNNNNNNNNNNNNNNNNNNNNNNNNNNNNNNNNNNNNNNNNNNNNNNNNNNNNNNNNNNNNNNNNNNNNNNNNNNNNNNNNNNNNNNNNNNNNNNNNNNNNNNNNNNNNNNNNNNNNNNNNNNNNNNNNNNNNNNNNNNNNNNNNNNNNNNNNNNNNNNNNNNNNNNNNNNNNNNNNNNNNNNNNNNNNNNNNNNNNNNNNNNNNNNNNNNNAAAAUAGUGUGUUUUGGGCGGAUGCACCACCGUGGGACGCUUCUUGGUCUUAAGAAGCUAAUACAGGUGCUAUUGGGAAACGUUGAUGUUCUACAGCUCUCUACGUUUCACUGGAUGGAGCUGCUGGUGGCGCAUUUCCUACAUCUGAUACCUUUUUCUUUGGUAUGUAUGAACUGUGUAGUGUGCUAAGUUCACUUGCAAUUAUCGGGUGCAGGUCUUAGAUGGAAUGCGUAGCAUAGCUUCCAAGUGCAAAGGAUUGAAAAGUUCUGGGGACGAAGACCUUCAAGAACUUUUAUCUGCAAUUAUCAGCAACGACACCGAGGUAAAUGCUCUUCCCAGUACUAUACAGAUACUCUUUGCGAAGUGUACGAAGGUUUUCAAUGCCUGGUAAGAACUUCUCAUGUCGAAUAUUGAUAUAAAUUUUCUAUCAGGAUGAUGGCGCAUGUUGAUGAUCUCCUGAUAGCAAAAGGGGAGGACGUUCGAUCUCUUCUUGAAGAAGACAGGCAAACUCUAGGCGGCUUGAGCUUGAAAGAACUCCAUCGUUUGGUUUAUUCUCAAGUACUGUCUUCGCACAGCUUAACCUGGCAGGUAUAUCGUUGAUUUCUUUGUUCUUGAUGUUUGUCUAACAAUUAUCUCAGCUAGCACCUGUUUACCUCGCGGCUUGCCCAAAGCAAGGCCUGGGAAUGCUUGAAGCUCUCCUAAUGAAGCAGAGUUGUUCCAAUCAGAAACUGGCAUUGAAGGUUGGUCUUGGUGUGACGUUUUCUUGAAUCUUAAUGUGAAUUUUGUGCAACAGGCACUAGAGAUAUGCCGCCUCUAUGAACCUGAUACCGUGAGCACAGCCAUCGCCAGGGUUUAGUAUCCUCUUCUUGCUCCAAGAAUCGGUAUGGAGCUGUUCUCACAUCUCGUUUACACUCUAAACUUCGGAUCGAUCAGAUGGAGCUGCUGGAAUGGCCGGAGCAAGUGCUGGUUAGCGAGUCCGAAACAAACACUCUACUCUGCUGCCUCCAGGAACUCUUCCUCGCCAGGGACCGCCUAGAGAACGACAUCCUAGGCACCGCAGAGCCUGGCGCUGUGGAUCGCCUGAGAUUGGCGCUGGCAUCCAACUUGGGCCGUGCCAUCUUGCAAAGCUGAUCGUUUCUACGAAGGUAGGAAGGAUUUCUUCUUGAACUGUACAAUUCAGAAGCGUGAGUCUAAUUAAGCAAAUAGUUUGACCGUAAAACUUCGCUAAAAGUCAAUUUUUAGUCAACACAGUCUUCAGUUAUUGGAAGUGUUUCAUUGGCUGCCAUUACACACCCCUUUAAUCAGUUGGGUUUAGGGUAGGAUUGUAAUAUUAUUGUUUAAUUUUCGUGGGCAGAAAUAUUUUGAAAGAAUAUUUAACAUGGUGGAUCUAAAGGAAGAUAAUAAACCCUAAGAAAAAGACUAUGGUGACAGGAAGGUGACUUAAAGAUGAUUGCAAUUAUUUCUUGGCGAGGGGAAAAUUGUUAAGCACCAAGUUAGGAUAAUAGGAUAAAAAAAGGACUUUACAAUCAAAUAAUCACCCCUUUAACCAGUUAGGUUAAGGUGUAAAAAAUAGAAUCAUACUCCCAGGCUCCAUCAUGUGGUUCCUGAGCAGUGACACAAAACAAUCUUACUCUUGUUCUUGAUAGCUUGGCAUAAAUUCUCUCUGUCCAAAAAUCACUAGCUGAUUCUCAGCGUGCAACAAAUGUAGUUGCUCCACCACGAUUGCUGCUGCUUAGUCACCACCACUACCACUGCUACCAGCGCCACUGCUAAACUUUGGCGAGGGGUUUCUAACAUUCUCGAUGGCUUUCAUCAGGACGUUGCUAUUGGUAUGCUUGGGUGGUGGCAUCAAUAAAACAGAUGCAUGCAACACCUCCCUAUCCUGCCUUGGCAAUCUCAGACAAGUGCAAACAAGAUUUUGCUACUCUCCCCUAACAGUGUGAUUUCACCCUGUUGACGUUCACGGCCCAUUUCCUUCACCAUCAAUUCUCCAAAGGGUUUUUAAAGUUGUGAAAGUUGACUUAGUGGACCUGUGGUUUUCCACAAGCACUCUACCCAGAGCAAUGUACGGCAGUUUAUCAUGCCCUAAAAGCAUAUGCGUAAAGAAUAUGAUACCUGAUUUUCUUGAUAUUGGGACUACUGCAUGGCGUUUUCUGUUCGGUGUAAAUGCGUUUAACUCGUUUUCUGCACUAAACUAAUCUUUCAGAACGCUCAAUCCACCUAAUCACCUUUUGUUUUUUAACCUGCAGUUUUGGAGGUAUAUGUAUGACAAAGUCAUGCACGAUGAGUCAAGCUAUACUUCAUUUUGGGAUAAACAUGUUUUGUGCACUAAACUAACCCAUUUACCCCAUUAGUCUUCUUCUGGUGUACAUACCUCUUCUGAAGGUGAAUUGCAAUGGCAACCAUGGCGACAAUGCAGGGAGCCUUGGUGACAUUGAGGCGAAUUUUGAUUUCAGCAAGGUAAAGUGGAACCUGUCUUGCCCAAAGCAGUGCUUAACUCCUUGUGGAAUGCUCCAGAUUGAUGUGCGUUCCAAGAGUUCUGAGGAUUACCUCCACACCAACCUGGCACCAUCGUUUGGGACAUUGAAUGCAGAAACAGUGAAGAAGAUGGAUGAGGUUCUCAAAGUUUGCAUCUCGGGAACCACAGACCUUCUAGCCAAAGUGCCACCGAAAGAGCGAACUUGGGAGAAGGUCAACUCCACGUUCAUGCAAAAUCCCCUGGUUGAGCCAAUGGGCGAUGGAGUUAGCAGAGCUGACCAGUUUCUCAACAAAAGCUCUAGCGACUUCAAGAUUGACAGGUCACCGGACCCAGCUACUGUGAAAGCGGUAAAAGAGUCAUGUAUUAUGGAAGAGCUCUAUUAACCUUUGCGGCCUUCUCUCGUCACAGGUUCAGGUCUGGUUUGUGAAUCUCAUCGCAGAUGAGGACGUCCUGAAAUCAACCAAGAUCGACAUUAAAGUUGUUGGGGAAAUUGUUGCUUAGUCAGGGGUGACCAUUACCAGCUUUGAAAAUUUCUUUGCCAAGCAUGAGCACCACGAGAAGACCAUAAUUGACAUCGGGGUCUUAAGGUACCCUGAUAUGCAAAACCCGUACUUCAAGGUUUGUGCCCAGGCUGCCUUUUGUAUUUCAGUCACAGCUCAUGCUUAUGAGUACAGGUGUACCGCAUCAAACUCUUUGUUUGGUCUGAUAGCAACCGUAUUGUGUUCCAUCAGGAGGAUUCCAAUGGCAUCAUUGGAGGUGAGGUGUCUAAUGUAAACCACUGAAGACUGCACGCUCCUUUUGUUCUAUUUGCAGAGUUCACCUUCCGUAAGUUUAAGCCGCGCAAGGAGCUCAUUGACAAGAUGAACCCAGACGCCAAAAAGAAGGCUGUGGAAGACAUCUUUGGUUUCUAAUAUCUAAAUUGAGCCAAAGAUGCCUCAAGCUAAAACAUCUUUCUAAAUACAUGACCUACUUGAAAAUAACAGCUAUCUAUUGUCUUUAUAUUUUUUAAUCUCAAUUUCUGAAAAGAGACAAUCAGGGAAACAAAGACUUGAUAUACAAACUACAAUAAAAGUAAUAAAUAUCUAAAACCUAGAUGCUUUGGAUUCCAAGUACUUUUGUCAAUGUUGCAAACUUUUGCCUUUGAAACGUGAUGAUAAAUUUAUCUCUGUCUAUAUACUGUUUAUAGUCUUGUGGUGCCCAUCAAGAAGCAUAAAUAUUCUUUGUGAUAUAUUACUAAAACGAAACAGGACAGUUUGCCAUGUGAAGAUCAUUAUCAUUGUCUCGUUGGUCUUUGUAGAUUCUUCGUGCUCAAGGUUACCACAAGUUAGCCAGGGACACCCUCAAUCAGCCCUAAGCCGAGUUGAUGGCUUAGUCGUGAGUGCCAUUUGGCUCUCCAUCUUGCUGGAUUUUCCCAUCCUGUCGCUUUGAUGCAAACGACUCCAGGAACACUGUCGCAAUAAUAUUGUAGAAAUGGAUUUUGACAAGGAACAGAACUUCGAAAAUAGAACUUUAGAGAAUGCUACUUGGAACAAGGCAAAGGGAGGCCCACAAAACCGUCGAGCUUUUCCUCCCCCUCUAACUCACGAACUUUGUCACAAGCACAUUGUAAGUUUUCUUUUGCAAAUGCUUACGUACUGAUCAGUAGGCGUGACAUCUCCUGCUAUAGGGUCGAGUUUUUAGGAUCCUAGAAAUCUACUCCAGGACAAGACGAUCAAGACGUUAAUACAGUUGUAAUUUUUUUAAAUUAAUAAGCUAAAUGCGCGAAUCUUUCCAAAACAGCAACGUCACUUUGGUCUUUUCUUAGUUUCUUGUCCAGCUGAGAACAGAGGUUUGUCUAGCUCAAGCAUGAGUUUCUAAAUGAAUACGUCCUGCGUUCUGACAUGGUUGAAUUAUCCUUGCUCAUAUUUACGACCAGUAAACAUUACAUAAUCAACGGCUACUUUGAUUUUCUUCCUCUCGCAGCAAGGUGGUCCCUUCGUACUCGGUGCUCGCUCCCUCCUCGCCUGCCAAAUACCUCCCUGGUAUGGAAGUCCUGGUGUUGCCGUAGGUUUUAAGCCUGACUUUUCUAAGGUUUGAUGUGGUUGCAGCAAAGUUUUUAGUUUCUCAGAUUUUAUUACAUGCAGGCGAGGGAAAAAUGGCGAAGUCAGGUUUCCAAGCUUGAAAAUAGUGUGUUUUGGGCGGAAUGCAACCACCGUGGGACGCUUCUUGGUCUUAAGAAGCUAAUACAGGUGCUAUUGGGAAACGUUGAUGUUCUACAGCUCUCUACGUUUCACUGGAUGGAGCUGCUGGUGGCGCAUUUCCUACAUCUGAUACCUUUUUCUUUGGUAUGUAUGAACUGUGUAGUGUGCUAAGUUCACUUGCAAUUAUCGGGUGCAGGUCUUAGAUGGAAUGCGUAGCAUAGCUUCCAAGUGCAAAGGAUUGAAAAGUUCUGGGGACGAAGACCUUCAAGAACUUUUAUCUGCAAUUAUCAGCAACGACACCGAGGUAAAUGCUCUUCCCAGUACUAUACAGAUACUCUUUGCGAAGUGUACGAAGGUUUUCAAUGCCUGGUAAGAACUUCUCAUGUCGAAUAUUUAUAUAAAUUUUCUAUCAGGAUGAUGGCGCAUGUUGAUGAUCUCCUGAUAGCAAAAGGGGAGGACGUUCGAUCUCUUCUUGAAGAAGACAGGCAAACUCUAGGCGGCUUGAGCUUGAAAGAACUCCAUCGUUUGGUUUAUUCUCAAGUACUGUCUUCGCACAGCUUAACCUGGCAGGUAUAUCGUUGAUUUCUUUGUUCUUGAUGUUUGUCUAACAAUUAUCUCAGCUAGCACCUGUUUACCUCGCGGCUUGCCCAAAGCAAGGCCUGGGAAUGCUUGAAGCUCUCCUAAUGAAGCAGAGUUGUUCCAAUCAGAAACUGGCAUUGAAGGUUGGUCUUGGUGUGACGUUUUCUUGAAUCUUAAUGUGAAUUUUGUGCAACAGGCACUAGAGAUAUGCCGCCUCUAUGAACCUGAUACCGUGAGCACAGCCAUCGCCAGGGUUUAGUAUCCUCUUCCUUUCCAGGCUUGGGGUUCUCACCUGUGUUUUAUGUCUUCCAGGCUGUUGGUGUUCAUAGUUUAAAGCAUGGAAAGAAGGGCCAAGGGAUAAUGUGGCUUCAAUUGGCCCGAGACGAGCAGAGGCUUUCUACUCUUGCGGAUAGCUUUUGAACACAAUAACGUCUGGUGAAGCUGAUAGUCUGGAUAAUCUCGAGGUAGCAGUCUUACGUUUUAUUUGAUACACGCACACUUUUAACGCUCUUUUCCCGUGCCAGCAUUUUGAGGGUCUCUGUGACAUCCUUGGCUCGGGAGCAACGAAGCAUCAAGGCCUGUCGUUCCUAGCAAGGUACUCACUUCAUACAGUUGCAAAACUAUCCGGAGCUCACUUCCAACUUCACGCAGGUACAAAAGCUUUAAGGCAGCGCUGCAAAACAUCAGAGAUCUGCGUUGUAGGGAGGCUUCCUACACCCGAACGGAUUGGUAACCUGGAGAAGAGAAGUCACCGCUGCUCUGCCAAGUGCAGCGAGGUUUUCGUAAAACCCCGGCUUGCAGCUUCUAAAAUCUGGAACCUUUCCACGUAAAUUCUGGCUGUCCUUGCUCCAAGAAUCGGUAUGGAGCUGUUCUCACGUCUCGUUUACACUCUAAACUUCGGAUCGAUCAGAUGGAGCUGCUGGAAUGGCCGGAGCAAGUGCUGGUUAGCGAGUCCGAAACAAACACUCUACUCUGCUGCCUCCAGGAACUCUUCCUCGCCAGGGACCGCCUAGAGAACGACAUCCUAGGCACCGCAGAGCCUGGCGCUGUGGAUCGCCUGAGAUUGGCACUGGCAUCCAACUUGGGCCGUGCCAUCUUGCAAAGCUGAUCGUUUCUACGAAGGUAGGAAGGAUUUCUUCUUGAACUGUACAAUUCAGAAGCGUGAGUCUAAUUAAGCAAAUAGUUUGACCGUAAAACUUCGCUAAAAGUCAAUUUUUAGUCAACACAGUCUUCAGUUAUUGGAAGUGUUAGCUUUUCAUUGGUUUUCAAUGAAUAUAAUUGUUUAAUUUUCGUGGGCAGAAAUAUUCUGAAAGAAUAUUUAACAUGGUGGAUCUAAAGGAAGAUAAUAAACUCUAAGAAAAAGACUAUGGUGACAGGAAGGUGACUUAAAGAUGAUUGCAAUUAUUUCUUGGCGAGGGGAAAAUUGUUAAGCACCAAGUUAGGAUAAUAGGAUAAAAAAACAUUGUUACACACCAGAUCAAAAUAAUAGGAUAAAAAAGGGACUUUACAAUCAAAUAAUCACCCCUUUAACCAGUUAGGUUAAAGUGUAAAAAAUAGAAUCAUACUCCCAGGCUCCAUCAUGUGGUUCCUGAGCAGUGACACAAAACAAUCCUACUCUUGUUCUUGAUAGCUUGGCAUAAAUUCUCUCUGUCCAAAAAUCACUAGCUAAUUCUUAGCGUGCAACAAAUGUAGUUGCUCCACCACGAUCGCUGCUGCUUAUGCCGGUUGUCACCACCACUACCACUGCUACCAGCGCCACUGCUAAACUUUGGCAAGGGGUUUCUAACAUUCUCAAUGGCUUUCAUCAGGACGUUGCUAUUGGUAUGCUUGGGUGGUGGCAUCAAUAAAACAGAUGCAUGCAACACCUCUUUAUCCUGCCUUGGAAGUCAGGCUCCCAAUCUCAGACAAGUGCAAACAAGCUUUCGCUUUCGCAUGAGGUGUCUAAUGUAAACCACUGAAGACUGCACGCUCCUUUUGUUCUAUUUGCAGAGUUCACCUUCCGUAAGUUUAAGCCGCGCAAGUAGACCAUUGACGAGAUGAACCCAGACGCCAAAAAGAAGGCUGUGGAAGCUGCAGAUAACAUCUUUGGUUUCUAAUAUCUAAAUUGAGCCAAAGAUACCUCAAGCUAAAACAUCUUUCUAAAUACAUGACCUACUUGAAAAUAACAGCUAUCUAUUGUCUUUAUAUUUUUUAAUCUUAAUUUCUGAAAAGAGACAAUCAGGGAAACAAAGACUUGAUAUACAAACUACAAUAAAAGUAAUAAAUAUCUAAAACCUAGAUGCUUUGGAUUCCAAGUACUUUUGCCUUCCAGUGGAACAUUGAAACGUGAUGAUAAAUUUAUCUCUGUCUAUAUACUGUUUAUAGUCUUGUGGUGCCCAUCAAGAAGCAUAAGUAUUCUUUGUGAUAUAUUAAUAAAACGAAACAGGACAGUUUGCCAUGUGAAGAUCAUUAUCAUUGUCUCGUUGGUCUUUGUAGAUUCUUCGUGCUCAAGGUUACCACAAGUUAGCCAGCCUCAAUCAGCCCUAAGCCGAGUUGAUGGCUUAGUCGUGAGUGCCAUUUGGCUCUCCAUCUUGCUGGAUUUUCCCAUCCUGUCGCUUUGAUGCAAACGACCCCAGGAACACUGUCGCAAUAAUAUUGUAGAAAUGGAUUUUGACAAGGAACAGAACUUCGAAAAUAGAACUUUAGAGAAUGCUACUUGGAACAAGGCAAAGGGAGGCCCACCAAACCGUCGAGCUUUUCCUCCCCCUCUAACUCACGAACUUUGUCACCAGCACAUUGUAAGUUUUCUUUUGCAAAUGCUUACGUACUGAUCAGUAGGCGUGACAUCUCCUGUUAUAGGGUCGAGUUUUUAGGAUCCUAGAAAUCUACUCCAGGACAAGACGAUCAAGACGUUAAUACAGUUGUAAUUUUUUUAAAUUAAUAAGCUAAAUGCGCGAAUCUUUCCAAAACAGCAACGUCACUUUGGUCUUUUCUUAGUUUCUUGUCCAGCUGAGAACAGAGGUUUGUCUAGCUCAAGCAUGAGUUUCUAAAUGAAUACGUCCUGCGUUCUGACAUGGUUGAAUUAUCCUUGCUCAUACUUACGACCAGUAAACAUUACAUAAUCAACGGCUACUUUGAUUUUCUUUCUCUCGCAGCAAGGUGGUCCCUUCGUACUCGGUGCUCGCUCCCUCCUCGCCUGCCAAAUACCUCCCUGGUAUGGAAGUCCUGGUGUUGCCGUAGGUUUUAAGCCUGACUUUUCUAAGGUUUGAUGUGGUUGCAGCAAAGUUUUUAGUUUCUCAGAUUUUAUUACAUGCAGGCGAGGGAAAAAUGGCGAAGUCAGGUUUCCAAGCUUGAAAAUAGUGUGUUUUGGGCGGAAUGCAACCACCGUGGGACGCUUCUUGGUCUUAAGAAGCUAAUACAGGUGCUAUUGGGAAACGUUGAUAUUCUACAGCUCUCUACAAUUCACUGGAUGGAGCUGCUGGUGGCGCAUUUCCUACAUCUGAUACCUUUUUCUUUGGUAUGUAUGAACUGUGUAGUGUGCUAAGUUCACUUGCAAUUAUCGGGUGCAGGUCUUAAUGCGUAGCAUAGCUUCCAAGUGCAAAGGAUUGAAAAGUUCUGGGGAUGAAGACCUUCAAGAACUUUUAUCUGCAAUUAUCAGCAACGACACCGAGGUAAAUGCUCUUCCCAGUACUAUACAGAUACUCUUUGCAAAGUGUACGAAGGUUUUCAAUGCCUGGUAAGAACUUCUCAUGUCGAAUAUUUAUAUAAAUUUUCUAUCAGGAUGAUGGCGCAUGUUAAUGAUCUCCUGAUAGCAAAAGGGGAGGACGUUCGAUCUCUUCUUGAAGAAGACCUUGACAGAACUCCAUCGUUUGGUUUAUUCUCAAGUACUGUCUUCGCACAGCUUAACCUGGCAUUGAUUUCCUUCUUCUUGAUGUCUAAACCGGCUAGAGAACGACAUCCUAAGCACCGCAGAGCCUGGCGCUGUGGAUUGCCUGAGAUUGGCACUGGCAUCCAACUUGGGCCGUGCCAUCUUGCAAAGCUGAUCGUUUCUUCGUUGUCAAACAAAGGUAGGAUUUCUUCUUGAACUGUACAAUUCAGAAGCGUGAGUCUAAUUGAGCAAAUAGUUUGACCGUAGAACUUCGCUAAAAGUCAAUAUUUAGUCAACAUAGUCUUCUGUCACUGAGAAUGUUAGCUUUUCAUUCAUUUUCAUACUUGAACUCAGCAAUUAAUCUAUACACAUGUACGGCUACGUUGAUUUGUUAGUCACCCUCAGAACCAAGCACUACUACACCAGCGUCCUAGUCUUGGGCACCCGAAGCAUCUCACGCCUGCCUUGGAUGGAUACAAGCCGGGCUCCCAAUCUCGGACAAGCCCAAUCAAGCUUUUGCUACUCUUGCAAAAGGCCCCAGACCAGCGCAUGAAACGAGUGUGUGAUUUCACCCUGUUGACGUUCACGGCCCUUUUCAUUUCACCACUCUCCGAGACGAUGCUGUGAAACUUGACUUAGUGGACCUGUGGUUUUCCACAAGCGCUGGUUCCUUUGCGAUGCGAUGCGGUUCCAGCGACCGGCUGGGGCAAAGCCGUCUACGCAUUUGGCGAGGAGAGGAAGAAUCCCAACAAGUUAAGUGGCGUUGGGUCAAGCUAGACUACUGCACCGAAGGAGGCUUGGCGUUUUGGACCGAACGUGUUUGGUGUAGAUGCGUUUCCUGCACCGAACUAGUUUUCUGCGCUAAACUAAUCUUUCAGAACGCUCAUCCAAAUCACCUUUUGUUUUUUAACCGGGUAUACCUGCAAUUUUUGGAGGUAUAUGUAUGACAAAGUCAUGCAGCACGUGCUGCGAUGAUACUUCAUUUUGGGAUAAACAUGUUUUGUGCACUAAACUAACUCAUUUACCCCAUUAUAAAAAGUGAGUGUACAUACCUCUUCUGGUGCACAUACUUCUUCUGAAGGUGAAUUGCAAUGGCAACCAUGGCAACAAUGCAGGGAGCCUUCGGUUCAUUGAAGGAGAUUGGUGACAUUGUGGCGAAUUUUGAUUUCAGCAAGGUAAAGUUGAACCUGUCUUGCCCAAAGCAGUGCUUAACUCCUUGUGGAAUGCUCCAGAUUGAUGUGCGUUCCAAGACUGCUGAGGAUUACCUCCACACCAACCUGGCACCAUCGUUUGGGGGAUUGAAUGCAGAAACAGUGAAGAAGAUGGAUGAGGUUCUCAAAGUUUGCAUCUCGGGAACCACAGACCUUAUAGCCAAAGUGGCACCGAAAGAGCGAACUUGGGAGAAGGUCAACUCCAUGUUCAUGCAAAAUCCCCUGGUUGAGCCAAUGGGCGA